ACGCACGCUGGCGGCGUGCUUCACCCCUGCAAGUCGAACGGAAAGGCCCUGCUUUUGUGGGGUGCUCGAGUGGCGAACGGGUGAGUAACACGUGAGUAACCUGCCCUUGACUUUGGGAUAACUUCAGGAAACUGGGGCUAAUACCGGAUAGGAGCUCCUGCUGCAUGGUGGGGGUUGGAAAGUUUCGGCGGUUGGGGAUGGACUCGCGGCUUAUCAGCUUGUUGGUGGGGUAGUGGCUUACCAAGGCUUUGACGGGUAGCCGGCCUGAGAGGGUGACCGGCCACAUUGGGACUGAGAUACGGCCCAGACUCCUACGGGAGGCAGCAGUGGGGAAUAUUGCACAAUGGGCGGAAGCCUGAUGCAGCAACGCCGCGUGCGGGAUGACGGCCUUCGGGUUGUAAACCGCUUUCGCCUGUGACGAAGCGUGAGUGACGGUAAUGGGUAAAGAAGCACCGGCUAACUACGUG
Molecule: ribosomal RNA, 467 nt
Filed under: uncultured bacterium
Lineage: Bacteria
Description: partial 16S ribosomal RNA
Rfam family: Bacterial small subunit ribosomal RNA
Source: RNAcentral